UACAGAGACUGCAAGCGUUAUUCGGAUUCACUGGGCGUAAAGCGUGCGCAGGCGGUUAUGCAAGACAGAUGUGAAAUCCCCGGGCUCAACCUGGGAACUGCAUUUGUGACUGCAUGGCUAGAGUGCGGCAGAGGGGGAUGGAAUUCCGCGUGUAGCAGUGAAAUGCGUAGAUAUGCGGAGGAACACCGAUGGCGAAGGCAAUCCCCUGGGCCUGCACUGACGCUCAUGCACGAAAGCGUGGGGAGCAAACAGG
RNAcentral lists this ribosomal RNA (253 nucleotides) under uncultured bacterium. Its description in RNAcentral is "partial 16S ribosomal RNA". It matches the Rfam family "Bacterial small subunit ribosomal RNA", at positions 524 to 776 of the family's 1533-position model. The record is from RNAcentral.